This 253-nucleotide ribosomal RNA is filed under the name uncultured bacterium. Its description in RNAcentral is "partial 16S ribosomal RNA". It matches the Rfam family "Bacterial small subunit ribosomal RNA", at positions 524 to 776 of the family's 1533-position model. The record is from RNAcentral.
UACAGAGGUCUCAAGCGUUGUUCGGAUUCAUUGGGCGUAAAGGGUGUGUAGGUGGCGCCGUAAGUCGGGUGUGAAAUUUCGGAGCUUAACUCCGAAACUGCAUUCGAUACUGCGGUGCUUGAGGACUGGAGAGGAGACUGGAAUUCAUGGUAUAGCAGUGAAAUGCGUAGAGAUCAUGAGGAAGACCAGUGGCGAAGGCGGGUCUCUGGACAGUUCCUGACACUGAGACACGAAGGCCAGGGGAGCAAACGGG